UACAGAGGUCCCAAGCGUUGUUCGGAUUCACUGGGCGUAAAGGGUGCGUAGGCGGUUGGGUAAGUCUGUCGUGAAAUCUCCGAGCCCAACUCGGAAACUGCGUCGGGUACUAUUCAACUCGAGGAAUGGAGGGGAGACUGGAAUUCUCGGUGUAGCAGUGAAAUGCGUAGAUAUCGAGAGGAACACCAGUGGCGAAGGCGAGUCUCUGGACAUUUCCUGACGCUGAGGCACGAAAGCCAGGGGAGCAAACGGG
RNAcentral lists this ribosomal RNA (253 nucleotides) under uncultured bacterium. RNAcentral describes it as "partial 16S ribosomal RNA". It matches the Rfam family "Bacterial small subunit ribosomal RNA", at positions 524 to 776 of the family's 1533-position model. The record is from RNAcentral.